AGCGAACGCUGGCGGCAGGCUUAACACAUGCAAGUCGAGCGGGCGUAGCAAUACGUCAGCGGCAGACGGGUGAGUAACGCGUGGGAACGUACCUUUUGGUUCGGAACAACACAGGGAAACUUGUGCUAAUACCGGAUAAGCCCUUACGGGGAAAGAUUUAUCGCCGAAAGAUCGGCCCGCGUCUGAUUAGCUUGUUGGUGAGGUAACGGCUCACCAAGGCGACGAUCAGUAGCUGGUCUGAGAGGAUGAUCAGCCACAUUGGGACUGAGACACGGCCCAAACUCCUACGGGAGGCAGCAGUGGGGAAUAUUGGACAAUGGGGGAAACCCUGGUCCAGCCAUGCCGCGUGAGUGAUGAAGGCCCUAGGGUUGUAAAGCUCUUUUGCCAGGGAAGAUGAUGACUGUACCUGGAGAAUAAGCCCCGGCUAACUUCGUGCCAGCAGCCGCGUAAU
Molecule: ribosomal RNA, 451 nt
Filed under: uncultured bacterium
Lineage: Bacteria
Description: bacterial SSU rRNA
Rfam family: Bacterial small subunit ribosomal RNA
Source: RNAcentral